Molecule: long non-coding RNA, 648 nt
Organism: Amphibalanus amphitrite
Lineage: Eukaryota; Metazoa; Arthropoda; Thecostraca; Balanomorpha; Balanidae
Exons: 4
Source: RefSeq, a predicted model, not a curated record
GGCAGCUUGCCUGAGCACUAGGCCUCAAACAGCCACCUGCGCUGCACACAAUGCAGCUGCUGUCGUUAAUAUCAAUUCUGUGUGUAGCAGCUUUCCAGAGCGUUCAAGGUGCCGAAUACUGCGGGAGUAUCAAAUGUCCAUCUUAUCACGACUGUAAAUAUGUCAACGGCUUAUGGGCCUGCGUUUCCAUCUGUCAGCGUCACGACGCUUUUACUUUGAAGUGUAAGGCGCGCAGCUUCUGCCUUCCUUGUAAGGAGAGUCCUGGCCUAUGUUGUCGCGGCUUCGGGUGGCAGGAAACCAUGGACGAGUAUACCUGUUCGAAUUGGUGCCCGCCGGGUCGGUCUUGCAGGUCCAGCGACUGUCCGAAAUAUUACCGGGGAUUCUGCUGCCGUGCCUAAGAUCAUGCCCUGACCAACCCCGUCUCGCUGGACCGGUGGAUGACCUGCCUCGUGACAAAAAAUGAAAAAGAAGUAGGAGACGGUCUGGUUAACUAACCAAAUCAUCGUAAUGCCUUUAAAACUUAGCGUGUUCUUACUAUUUCGGCUGUUAUGUCUUGUUACGUUAGAAUUAAAUCAUUAAUUUUGCUAUCGGCAUAUGUCUAAAAGGGAGAAAUGAAAGUGCGGUCCCAAUAAACUGGAUCAACGUGUU